AACUUUCAACAACGGAUCUCUUGGUUCUGGCAUCGAUGAAGAACGCAGCGAAAUGCGAUAAGUAAUGUGAAUUGCAGAAUUCAGUGAAUCAUCGAAUCUUUGAACGCACAUUGCGCCCGCCAGUAUUCUGGCGGGCAUGCCUGUCCGAGCGUCAUUUCAACCCUCGAACCCCUCCGGGGGGUCGGCGUUGGGGAUCGGGAA
Molecule: ribosomal RNA, 201 nt
Filed under: Trichoderma koningiopsis
Lineage: Eukaryota; Fungi; Ascomycota; Sordariomycetes; Hypocreales; Hypocreaceae
Description: 5.8S ribosomal RNA
Rfam family: 5.8S ribosomal RNA (bases 1-154)
About the family: 5.8S ribosomal RNA (5.8S rRNA) is a component of the large subunit of the eukaryotic ribosome. It is transcribed by RNA polymerase I as part of the 45S precursor that also contains 18S and 28S rRNA.
Source: RNAcentral